This 338-nucleotide long non-coding RNA is filed under the name Elaeis guineensis (African oil palm). RNAcentral describes it as "long non-coding RNA (EGUI_LNC016992)". Lineage: Eukaryota; Viridiplantae; Streptophyta; Magnoliopsida; Arecales; Arecaceae. The record is from RNAcentral.
CUAUUUCUUACCUUCUUGCAGUGAUUAGGUAGGUUUCGCAUCCCACUGAACAUAGCCUUCUUGCCAUUCUUAGAAGUUCCAAGUCCCUUCUUGCACUUAAAGCCUGCAUCUUUGUGAGCUAGAUAAUAACAUAUGAAUGCCCACUUGAUUUGGCUGUUUCUAGACAUUUAUCCUCUAAUUCAAUAUGACAACAAACAUAAUCAAAAGUCUUGAUACUUUCGUUGUGUGUCACAUUAACCUUCAUAUGUUCCCAGCUUUAUGGAAGAGAUCUUAUCAUGGCUUGGACCUAUUGUUCAUCAGUCAGAAUAUGCCCAGCUGCCCUCAACUCUCUAAUCAUG